This 185-nucleotide ribosomal RNA is filed under the name uncultured eukaryote. RNAcentral's name for it is "partial 18S ribosomal RNA". It matches the Rfam family "Eukaryotic small subunit ribosomal RNA", at positions 1299 to 1458 of the family's 1831-position model. The record is from RNAcentral.
UGGUGGAGUGAUUUGUCUGGUUAAUUCCGAUAACGAACGAGACUCUGUCCUGCUAACUAGGUUGUGUUUUCUCGGGUUUGGUGUUCUGGUGUUCCUUCUCGGGCGCCGGCCCAAUCCACUUGUGAACACAACACUCUUCUUAGAGGGACUGGCGGCUGUUAGCCGCACGAGAUAGAGCAAUAACA